This 1021-nucleotide long non-coding RNA is filed under the name Pogona vitticeps (central bearded dragon). RNAcentral's name for it is "lncRNA (ENSPVIG00000007893.1)". The record is from RNAcentral. Lineage: Eukaryota; Metazoa; Chordata; Lepidosauria; Squamata; Agamidae.
AUGCCACGGGUGAGGCCCACUAGCAUGAAGCCUGCUUCUGGGUCUCGCUUUGGCCGAGAGAAAUUCCAGAUCGUUUACGUCAAUAGUUUUGGCCACCACCGCUCUGGCAAUGUGAUUCACUAUAGUGGCAGCAACAGCUGCCGCCACCUCAGGGAGCAAGAGGAAGUGGCUCUGACAAGCGCCCAGGCCUCCUGUCUCACAGCUGAGGCGCCCUCAGCCAUUUCUGACGGGACAGGUUCAGGAGACGCAGCAGCCCCUUCUCCUUCCUCAAAGGACCCACGGGGCCCACACUUGCUUCGAGCCACUUCGGCUAAGCAAGUGGAAGGUGCUUGUGAGAGGGGGGCGCUGAGCAAAGCAGGCCAGGCCAAGAGGUUCAAAGCCAGAAAGCUUCCUGAAGGCCGAAGGGCCAGGACAGAAGAAUUACUACCCUCUCUGAAUCAAGAGUGGAACAGGAAGAGAGGAGAUUUAAUUUUCCCAGCCUCCACUGGUCAAAAGUCUGCAGUGUGGUCUGGAGUAUAUAAAGUAAUUUCUAAGAUGGUAGAGGAAAACAGUCACUUUAGAGAUAGACUGAUAUCCUGUAGCCAGUUCUCAAGUGAAGGCAGAAAUACGAGUGAGAACAUACAAACUGGGGCUUCAUGCAUUGGCACAGAUGAAGCCAUUUUUGGAUGGGUAUAGGAAAUGAAGUAGCAAGGAAAUGAAGAUUUACUGUCACGUUACAAAUUAAUUUUGUUUUUAAAAAUUUGCAAUCCAGUGACCUUUGACCAUUCAAAAGGAACAGAUUGUUGACAUCAGAGAGACUGGAGUACAAAUUCCAUGCAAGUAAUGUGGAACAUACUUCUUUUUGCCUCUUUAGUGUAACGGCUUCAUUUUUGGUGCAAGUUUGAUGAAGUUGUAUAACCUGUUUAAAUCCUGGAUAAGCAAAUCACCAUUUUACUUUGUUGUUGUUUGUUUUAAAUCCUUGUACCAGGAUUUGAUAAUUUAUGAAUACAACACAAUAAAACAUGUUAAUGUUGAUUCUACA